RNAcentral lists this ribosomal RNA (1528 nucleotides) under Klebsiella variicola. RNAcentral's name for it is "bacterial SSU rRNA". It matches the Rfam family "Bacterial small subunit ribosomal RNA". Lineage: Bacteria; Pseudomonadati; Pseudomonadota; Gammaproteobacteria; Enterobacterales; Enterobacteriaceae. The record is from RNAcentral. RNAcentral also lists the same sequence under 1 other name.
AGAGUUUGAUCAUGGCUCAGAUUGAACGCUGGCGGCAGGCCUAACACAUGCAAGUCGAGCGGUAGCACAGAGAGCUUGCUCUCGGGUGACGAGCGGCGGACGGGUGAGUAAUGUCUGGGAAACUGCCUGAUGGAGGGGGAUAACUACUGGAAACGGUAGCUAAUACCGCAUAACGUCGCAAGACCAAAGUGGGGGACCUUCGGGCCUCAUGCCAUCAGAUGUGCCCAGAUGGGAUUAGCUGGUAGGUGGGGUAACGGCUCACCUAGGCGACGAUCCCUAGCUGGUCUGAGAGGAUGACCAGCCACACUGGAACUGAGACACGGUCCAGACUCCUACGGGAGGCAGCAGUGGGGAAUAUUGCACAAUGGGCGCAAGCCUGAUGCAGCCAUGCCGCGUGUGUGAAGAAGGCCUUCGGGUUGUAAAGCACUUUCAGCGGGGAGGAAGGCGGUGAGGUUAAUAACCUCAUCGAUUGACGUUACCCGCAGAAGAAGCACCGGCUAACUCCGUGCCAGCAGCCGCGGUAAUACGGAGGGUGCAAGCGUUAAUCGGAAUUACUGGGCGUAAAGCGCACGCAGGCGGUCUGUCAAGUCGGAUGUGAAAUCCCCGGGCUCAACCUGGGAACUGCAUUCGAAACUGGCAGGCUAGAGUCUUGUAGAGGGGGGUAGAAUUCCAGGUGUAGCGGUGAAAUGCGUAGAGAUCUGGAGGAAUACCGGUGGCGAAGGCGGCCCCCUGGACAAAGACUGACGCUCAGGUGCGAAAGCGUGGGGAGCAAACAGGAUUAGAUACCCUGGUAGUCCACGCUGUAAACGAUGUCGAUUUGGAGGUUGUGCCCUUGAGGCGUGGCUUCCGGAGCUAACGCGUUAAAUCGACCGCCUGGGGAGUACGGCCGCAAGGUUAAAACUCAAAUGAAUUGACGGGGGCCCGCACAAGCGGUGGAGCAUGUGGUUUAAUUCGAUGCAACGCGAAGAACCUUACCUGGUCUUGACAUCCACAGAACUUAGCAGAGAUGCUUUGGUGCCUUCGGGAACUGUGAGACAGGUGCUGCAUGGCUGUCGUCAGCUCGUGUUGUGAAAUGUUGGGUUAAGUCCCGCAACGAGCGCAACCCUUAUCCUUUGUUGCCAGCGGUUAGGCCGGGAACUCAAAGGAGACUGCCAGUGAUAAACUGGAGGAAGGUGGGGAUGACGUCAAGUCAUCAUGGCCCUUACGACCAGGGCUACACACGUGCUACAAUGGCAUAUACAAAGAGAAGCGACCUCGCGAGAGCAAGCGGACCUCAUAAAGUAUGUCGUAGUCCGGAUUGGAGUCUGCAACUCGACUCCAUGAAGUCGGAAUCGCUAGUAAUCGUAGAUCAGAAUGCUACGGUGAAUACGUUCCCGGGCCUUGUACACACCGCCCGUCACACCAUGGGAGUGGGUUGCAAAAGAAGUAGGUAGCUUAACCUUCGGGAGGGCGCUUACCACUUUGUGAUUCAUGACUGGGGUGAAGUCGUAACAAGGUAACCGUAGGGGAACCUGCGGUUGGAUCACCU